This 463-nucleotide ribosomal RNA is filed under the name uncultured bacterium. RNAcentral's name for it is "partial 16S ribosomal RNA". It matches the Rfam family "Bacterial small subunit ribosomal RNA", at positions 28 to 507 of the family's 1533-position model. The record is from RNAcentral.
GAUGAACGCUGGCGGCGUGCUUAACACAUGCAAGUCGAACGGAAAGGCUCCUGCUUGCCGGGGUGCUCGAGUGGCGAACGGGUGAGUAACACGUGGGUGAUCUGCCCUGCACUUCGGGAUAAGCCUGGGAAACUGGGUCUAAUACCGGAUAGGACACAUUUUGGAUGGUGUGGUGGAAAGUUUUUCGGUGUGGGAUGAGCUCGCGGCCUAUCGGCUUGUUGGUGGGGUAAUGGCCUACCAAGGCGUCGACGGUUAGCCGGCCUGAGAGGUGUACGGCCACAUUGGGACUGAGAUACGGCCCAGACUCCUACGGGAGGCAGCAGUGGGGAAUAUUGCACAAUGGGCGCAAGCCUGAUGCGGCGACGCCGCGUGGGGGAUGACGGCCUUCGGGUUGUAAACUCCUUUCGCUAGGGACGAAGCGCAAGUGACGGUACCUGGAGAAGAAGCACCGGCUAACUACGUG